Molecule: ribosomal RNA, 460 nt
Filed under: uncultured bacterium
Lineage: Bacteria
Description: partial 16S ribosomal RNA
Rfam family: Bacterial small subunit ribosomal RNA
Source: RNAcentral
CCUACGGGGGGCAGCAGUGAGGAAUAUUGGUCAAUGGGCGCAAGCCUGAACCAGCCAAGUCGCGUGAGGGAAGACGGCCCUACGGGUUGUAAACCUCUUUUGCCGGGGAGCAAGCCUGAGCACGUGUGCCCAGGCGGAGAGUACCCGGAGAAAAAGCAUCGGCUAACUCCGUGACAGCAGCCGCGGUAAUACGGAGGAUGCGAGCGGUAUCCGGAUUUAUUGGGUGUAAAGGGUGCGCAGGCGGGCUGUUAAGCCGGCGGUAAAAAUUCAGGGCUCAACCCUGUCGAGCCGUCGGAACUGGCAGCCUUGAGUGGGCGAGAAGUAUGCGGAAUGCGUGGUGUAGCGGUGCAAUGCAUAGAUAUCACGCAGAACGCCGAUUGCGAAGGCAGCAUACCGGCGCCCGACUGACGCUGAGGCACGAAAGCGUGGGGAUCGAACAGGAUUAGAUACCCGUGUAGUC